RNAcentral lists this long non-coding RNA (2833 nucleotides) under Neodiprion pinetum (white pine sawfly). RNAcentral's name for it is "uncharacterized LOC124212133". Lineage: Eukaryota; Metazoa; Arthropoda; Insecta; Hymenoptera; Diprionidae. The record is from RNAcentral.
CCCAUAGGUAGAGAAAGAGAGAAUGCUAGUGAGGCGCCGGCUAGAAGUUGAUAAAAUAUGUGGAAGGUUCUCUCGUCCUUGGCCUGACGGAUAGCCCUGGAUUUUUCAAGGAGUUUUUGCAUUUCCAAAGGCCUCCAAGAUGGGAUUGGCUUGCAGUAAUUGUUGUUCCAGUUCACCCUGCGAAACAGAUUCAGUCACAAGUUAAAAAUCUGCGAAUAAUAACAAAAAUAAUGCGAGACUACAGAGUGCAAAAUUUUACCAAAAUUCCCUCCUUUUGCAGCGAAAAUUAAUUAAAAAUUCCACAUGCGAUUACCUAGAGUAACUUUACACGACACUUGUACCGUAUCAAAUUUUCAUUACAAAUAAUCAAAAAAAUACCAACUCUCAUACAGAAUCGUUCUACUGGUAAAUAUUUUUGACGUCAUAAAACAAAAAUCUGUUUGAUCGGUGAAAAUAUUGAAGUUUUACACACAUGCUGGAAUAUGAUUGAAGAAAAAUUACUUUCUUGCAAUACUACGUUUUUUUUCUAUAUUUUACUCUGAACUCAUAUUUUUUGUAUCAGUAUUGGUAACGACAAAGAAUUUUAAAUACAGAUAGGAAAAAGAACUUCAAACGUACAACAUGAUACGGCACAGCGACCGAUGCAGAAUGUUUACGAAUUUUGCAAGCACUGCAGAUACACAUAUACAUAUAUGUAAGGAAUGCGAUAAAAAAAAAAAGUUGCCCACGUUGCAACACAGGUAAUAUAUACCCUCAGGCAACGAUUAUUAUCGUCCGCACAUGAAAUAUAUCAGAAGACACAGAGAGUUAAAAAUUACAGCAAGCAUUAAUUCUGCACUUUUUUUUUUUUCAAAUAAACUACCCUGUUUUAAGAUUGUACAAAGAGAAAAGAAAAAGCAAUUUUCAGGACAUAAAUAACCACAUUAAAAAAUAUCAAGCAGGCAGCACCAUCGUUAUGCAUAUAAUAAUUAUAUAUAAUAAAUUACACGUGUGUUCGUAUAUAAUGAUCAGUGUUAAUUACCGAAAAUUUUUCCGUAAGCGUCCCUGUAGGUGACUUCAUUUACGAUGAGCAGGAAAGCGAGUGAACAAAACAAAACAAAAAAAAAAGACAACAACAACCCAUAAUUAGAUGUCAUUAUUUUUUGUUACUUUCACAAAUGAAUUUGUUACAAAAUUGUAGUAAUAAUGAAUAUUGAUGUGAGAAAAAAAAGCAACACGAAACAAUGAUACUGUUAAUACUUAGGCCAAAAUUUGGAAAAACUGAAAAAAAACACAGCCACAUAUAUUUGUUAAUUAUAUACCUAUAUAUAUAUAAAAAACAAGAGGAAAAAAAAUCUGGUAAAUUCCGUAGACGUGUUAAAAAACGGUCGAAACCUAAAUAAUUAUUAAAAAAUUAUUUGUCUUUCUUCUCAUUUUUAAUAAAGCGUCGCAUCUAAGGAAUGGUGUAUAAAUUAUAUACCUAUAUAAUACGUUAAACCUGAUUUGGCUGUUCAUAUUUAAUAUUUCAACUUACAAUGAUCAACGCCGGACUUGGAGUCUGUGGGUGGAUCCGGGAAUGUCACCACCGAGAAUAAAAGAAAUUUUAAACAUUAGAUUCACUCGCCUCUUUACACAGAAUAUAACGUAAUUUCGAUAACAUUUUUGCUUAUAUAACUUACACGUAUUGUAUGCGUUUAAUUAUCUAAACUUCGUAAAUUAGGAUGAAAAAAAAAAUAAAUUAAAUAAAAAAUUUUCACAUACAUUCUUCGUGGAAAAAAAUAAAUUACAAGUAUGACAGACCAAUCGUGAAAAUUAACCCGUUGAGGACACAUGGGGUCCAACGGACCCCAGACAAAUUUCAAUGCAAUUUUAAAUCUACAAAGACCCUUAGGAAUUAGAUAUAUAGCACCAUCUGUUGUUGUUUGAAGUCUCCACAACAAGUUUUGACACGUUACGAAGGUCUCUUUGGCAUUAGUCAUCCUGCAGAGACAUAUUAGUGCGCACGUGUUUUUUUUUUGGGGUUCUGUAGACCCCGUGUGGCCUUACUGUGGCAAAAUCUUGAAAAAAAUUCAAUUUUUUUUUUAUCGUUGAUUGAUGUUAUAUUGUUUCUGUAAACGUAAGUAUUCAUGCAUGAAUUGAAUUUUUUUCUUCAGCAAUAAAUAAUGGUUAUUAAUUAAAUAUAUAUGUGUGUAUAUAUACAGAUGUCUUAUAAUCUUCGACCUCGAACUAUCGCCAGCCGUCUAAUGGAAUAAAAUUAAAGUUUCGCACUGGUUUUAAGUCGAUACAUAGCGUAAAACACAAAUGAGAACUGUUUUUCUGCGUGGGGUGCGCUGGACCCCGUGUGUCCUCAACGUUAUUUUUUCGAUGUGUGUCCUCAACGGGUUAAGACGGAUUUAACAUUGUGCGGGUAACCCUGUGUACAAUUCAUUUAUAUUUUUUGUGCUUCUUACAAAAAAAGAGGGGCAGGGGGGGGGCAAGAAAUUGGGAACACGCAAAGGUGUGCGCGAUGAAUUGCGUAAAGUGCAUUCAUAAUGCAAUUAACGAUAACUAUCUCGUAUAAUAAUGAUUGACGGUGUUGCUCCUAAUCUAAUUUCAUAAUGUGCGGCACGCGAUGCGAACCAAGUACCGCGUAGUUGAAUAAUUACGAUAAUAAUGACAACAACAACAACAAUAACAAUAAUAAUAAUUGGAACAAGUAGCAAGAAAAAUAAUAGUAAUAAUCGGUAAAUACUUUUACAACUAUUUUACAAAAUUCCGUACAGAUUGCUAAACGAAUAAAAGAAAGCAAAAAGAAAAAAACCAUCCCGGAUCAAACGAAGCAUCCGAGUGCAAAUUCGAUUAGAUACAUUAAAUA